This 28-nucleotide non-coding RNA is filed under the name Mus musculus (house mouse). The record is from RNAcentral. Lineage: Eukaryota; Metazoa; Chordata; Mammalia; Rodentia; Muridae.
UUGUAAUCACAAUGGGCUUAUCCUGACC